UAGCCUCCUGAUUAUAUCAUCCAAUACUCCCUUAUCCAUCAUUCCCUCCAUUGUCAUCUUCAUCAUCUUUUAAUCUCCAAAUCAAAACCCAAAUCUCUAUAGGGAACAACGGAUUUAAGUUCUUCACUCGAGAAUAAAAAGAAAAGACAAGGAAUAUAAAAGGCUAUCUAUUGAUAGAGAGAAAAAUGAACGGCUGGAAACAAGCAAACCCAGAAUAAAUUAAGCAAUGAAACUGUGAAAUAAAGAGCCAAAUUGUACAGAAAGAAGUUAAAAGAAAGGUAUGUGGGUCAAAUAGAUUGAAAUAAAUCAAGAAAGAUCAAUUCUUUUAAGAGACAAGAGAAAGAAGAUCAGAUGGGCAUCUAGAAGAUGAAAAUAGAGAAGAGGGUAUGUAAAAAUCAAGAGAAAGAAGGAUUUUUUAAAUAGAAAAUGAAGAGAAGAGAAGGAAACAAUAAUGGAUAUGGCUUGUCAUUUUCCUUAUGAAUCUUUCUCUCUCUAAAAAAGCUAUUUUUUGUGCCACCGGCUGCCAAGAAGAUUCAAUAGGGAGUUUGAAACCUUCAGAUGCACGAGAGAGAGAGAGAGAGA
Molecule: unclassified non-coding RNA, 582 nt
Filed under: Hevea brasiliensis (rubber tree)
Lineage: Eukaryota; Viridiplantae; Streptophyta; Magnoliopsida; Malpighiales; Euphorbiaceae
Source: RNAcentral